UGGGGAAUAUUGCACAAUGGGCGCAAGCCUGAUGCAGCCAUGCCGCGUGUAUGAAGAAGGCCUUCGGGUUGUAAAGUACUUUCAGCGGGGAGGAAGGCGAUAAGGUUAAUAACCUUGUCGAUUGACGUUACCCGCAGAAGAAGCACCGGCUAACUCCGUGCCAGCAGCCGCGGUAAUACGGAGGGUGCAAGCGUUAAUCGGAAUUACUGGGCGUAAAGCGCACGCAGGCGGUCUGUCAAGUCGGAUGUGAAAUCCCCGGGCUCAACCUGGGAACUGCAUUCGAAACUGGCAGGCUAGAGUCUUGUAGAGGGGGGUAGAAUUCCAGGUGUAGCGGUGAAAUGUGUAGAGAUCUGGAGGAAUACCGGUGGCGAAGGCGGCCCCCUGGACAAAGACUGACGCUCAGGUGCGAAAGCGUGGGGAGCAAACA
Molecule: ribosomal RNA, 427 nt
Filed under: uncultured bacterium
Lineage: Bacteria
Description: partial 16S ribosomal RNA
Rfam family: Bacterial small subunit ribosomal RNA
Source: RNAcentral